RNAcentral lists this ribosomal RNA (432 nucleotides) under uncultured bacterium. Its description in RNAcentral is "partial 16S ribosomal RNA". It matches the Rfam family "Bacterial small subunit ribosomal RNA", at positions 29 to 507 of the family's 1533-position model. The record is from RNAcentral.
ACGAACGCUGGCGGCAUGCCUAACACAUGCAAGUCGAACGAGACCUUCGGGUCUAGUGGCGCACGGGUGCGUAACGCGUGGGAACCUGCCCUUAGGUUCGGAAUAACUCCCCGAAAGGGGUGCUAAUACCGGAUAAUGUCUUCGGACCAAAGAUUUAUCGCCUUUGGAUGGGCCCGCGUUGGAUUAGCUAGUUGGUAGGGUAAAAGCCUACCAAGGCGACGAUCCAUAGCUGGUCUGAGAGGAUGAUCAGCCACACUGGGACUGAGACACGGCCCAGACUCCUACGGGAGGCAGCAGUGGGGAAUAUUGGACAAUGGGCGAAAGCCUGAUCCAGCAGUGCCGCGUGAGUGAUGAAGGCCUUAGGGUUGUAAAGCUCUUUUACCCGGGAUGAUAAUGACAGUACCGGGAGAAUAAGCUCCGGCUAACUCCGUG